UUAAAAACGCUCCUCACCAAAAUUCCAUGGCCGAGGAGGAUGAUGUCCCUGAUCAGAACCCUAGGUUCUUCGUGGCGGUGCACGUCGGCGCUCACGUGCCGCCGAACGAGAAAGCUCUCAGGUCCGCCAUGAAACGUGCCUGCCUCGCUGCUGCUUCUGUUCUUCGCAAGGAUGAUCCAAGCACAAAUGCUGGGAUUGGCUCAAAUUUGACUGAAGAGGUCACGUGGAAUGCGAUGCCAGUAUCAUGGAUGGUGAUUAUGGGGCAUUUGGGGCUGUUGGAGCGGUGCUAGCUUCUUGGUUGGUAAAGGUGCACGUAUGUGGGCAAAAUCCAAGGGUAUUUCUUGGCUGACAGGUAUACUGGAGGCUGAUGAGUGGCUGGUUACAGAGAGGGUAAAAAGACAUUGGGACAAAUACAAAUCAAUGCUUGAUGAUGCAGAAGCCAUGAAAGCAGAAAUUGAUGGAGAACUUUCUUCUAGCACUCAAGAGGAUGCUGCUGUAUCAGAGUUCUACUAUGUGAUCAUUUGAACACAAAUGGAGAUCAUGGUCAAUUAUGUACGUUGAAUGUGGAGAUGACUGCAUUAUGGACACUGUUGGGGUUAUUUGUGUUGACACUGAAGGACAUAUAGCAUCUGGAGCUUCACAUGGUGGCAUUGCACUGAAGGUCGCAGGCAGGUCUGGGCUCUGCUUGCAUGAAAGUUUUACGCUCUGUUAUGCCAGAUAGUAGCCAGCACGGUAUUGAUAAAAGUGCCCGAACUCUAGUUGUUUAAGCCAAGGCUCCUAUAACACUUCCCUGGACUUCACCUAAGCUGAAACCUAUAGAGAUUGCAGCAGCCUACACUUCCCUGUCUUUUGGAAUAGGUUAUUUUGGAAGCUCUAUGGAGCGGCCCAAGGGCUUAAUUCUUAGGACUACAAAAUAGCAAAAUAGGACUGGCAUAGACCAGUUUGCCACACGAAUUGAUGUUAGUGAAAGUAAAGGAUAAAAUGCCCUGUGUGCUAAGAUUUUGAUAAGAAAUUUAAAAUUUGGAAGUAAAUCAAAUUGGUUUAAUUGUUUUCUUCUUUCGAGUGACUUGUCAUGUUUCAAAUGGUCAAGUAAGGCAAACCUUAAACCUGAAAGACGUUC
Non-coding RNA from Camellia sinensis, 1120 nucleotides. The record is from RefSeq and is a predicted model, not a curated record. Lineage: Eukaryota; Viridiplantae; Streptophyta; Magnoliopsida; Ericales; Theaceae.